This 598-nucleotide long non-coding RNA is filed under the name Salmo salar (Atlantic salmon). RNAcentral describes it as "lncRNA (ENSSSAG00000105378.1)". The record is from RNAcentral. Lineage: Eukaryota; Metazoa; Chordata; Actinopteri; Salmoniformes; Salmonidae.
AUAACUUGGUGGGGGGUCUUGGGGUCCUCCCAUUUUUGGGGGUGUCUAAAGCACAUUUCCUUAAUUUCUACACAAUCUAAUAUGACCCAUGACCCUUCUAGCAGUCUCUAUUUAGAACAACAAAAAGUCAACAAAAAUGCCCACAGUCAUCAAGCUAGCCAGACCGCCCAGCCAGCCAGCCCGAGCUACCUGCGCACCCAGACUGAGCAGACCAGCAGCUAGGGAUUGCCUAAAUAGCAGUUACCUUGCCAGCUAGAUCAGUCAACUAAACAGUAGCCAGUUUCUGCUCAGCUUGCACAACUCGGAGAAAAAGCACGAUACAGACAGCAGCUGCCUCUUCAUCUCUCCGGUGCUGGUCCUAUACGCCAGCCUUUCAGGAGCUUUGCCUUCACACAGCCUGUCAGCACGAUCUGUGGUGUCCAUGUGGUCCUAACUCCACCCGGCUGAAACUGGAAAACAGCCUACCCGACCGCUCUGAGGUGUCUGCGUGGUCCUGAAGCACACCGGCACCACGUUUUGUAUCACAGUGCAAUGAUAAAACUGGGGGGACAAAUAUGCAAUUUCAGAAUGUGGGGGGGACAUGUCCCGUCUCCCCCCC